GAUUCCCCUAGUAACGGCGAGCGAACGGGGAAGAGUCCAGCGCCGAAGUUCGUUCCCCUCGGGGUUCGAACAAUGUGGCGUGUAGGAGGGAGCGUUCCCGAGAAGGUCCGAGCAGCAAGUCCCCCUGACCGGGGCUCUUACCCAGAGCGGGUGCGAGGCCCGUAGUUGCUCGGUCCCCUCGGGAUGCGACCUCCCCGGAGUCGAGUUGCUUGGGAGUGCAGCUCCAAGUUGGUGGUAAACUCCACCUAAGGCUAAAUACGGCCGCGAGACCGAUAGCAAACAAGUACCGUGAGGGAAAGUUGCAAAGAACUUUGAAGAGAGAGUUCAAGAGUACGUGAAACUGCUCAGAGGCAAACGGGUGGGCCCUCGAAAUCCUUUUGCGGAGGGAUUCAGUCGGGAGCGGUGGAGGCGGACGCGGGUACCGGACCCUUGAAAAGGACGGUCCCGCGACGCGGUCCCCGCCGCACCCGACGCAUUUCCCCCCGCACCUAGGACGCCGCAACGGAUCGGGUAGCUGCGAGAGUCGGCCUUAGGGCGGUUCCAGGCAGGUGACCGGAGACCGGGCUUCGGCCAGGUCACCGGUUUUUUUAACGGAGCCGUUCGUGGCGCGACACCCGAUCGAGGCCAGAGUUCCCCCGACGGGGAACGCACCGUCCCUCUCCUCUUGGACGCGGUGCCCGGGUCAGUGUGCACCGGCGAGAUCGAACCACUCCCAGUAGUGGCCGUUCCGACGGAGUGCCGUCGUUGGAUCCGGGUCGACCGCAGAGGGAGAUGUCGACAGGUUGGCGGCGAGUAGGUCGGUCACCCACCCGACCCGUCUUGAAACACGGACCAAGGAGUCUAACAUGUGCGCGAGUCGCAGGGUCUUGUACAGGCCCUCGGGCGCAAUGAAAGUGAAGGUUCUCGGACCGAGUUGGGACUCCCGCCUCCAGGGGCGGGAAGCACCAAUGGCCCGUUCCGUCCGAUUCGUCGGUGGGGCGGAGUUCGAGCGUACACGUUGGGACCCGAAAGAUGGUGAACUAUGCCUGGGCAGAACGAAGCCAGAGGAAACUCUGGUGGAGGUUCGUAGCGGUUCUGACGUGCAAAUCGAUCGUCAGACCCGGGUAUAGGGGCGAAAGACUAAUCGAACUAU
Molecule: ribosomal RNA, 1132 nt
Filed under: Ciboneya antraia
Lineage: Eukaryota; Metazoa; Arthropoda; Arachnida; Araneae; Pholcidae
Description: eukaryotic LSU rRNA
Rfam family: Eukaryotic large subunit ribosomal RNA
Source: RNAcentral